ACACCUCAACUCUUCAUGGUCUUCUGUGAUGAGCUUGGACUUUGGGGGUUUUGCCGGCCCACGGUCGGCUCCUCUAAAAUGAAUCAGCUUGCCGGUGUUUGGUGGGCAUCACGGGUGUGAUAACUAUCUACGCUUGUGGUUUUCCACCAGGUAACCUUCAGCAGUGGAGGUUCGCUGGAGCUCACAGAUGUCUCUCCUCGGUGAGGAUGGGCCCUUUGAAU
RNAcentral lists this unclassified non-coding RNA (221 nucleotides) under uncultured Tomentella. RNAcentral's name for it is "sequence contains ITS2". The record is from RNAcentral. Lineage: Eukaryota; Fungi; Basidiomycota; Agaricomycetes; Thelephorales; Thelephoraceae.